CCCAAUGAAAAAUUUUAAAUGGCUGCAGUAUAAAUAACUGUACUAAGGUAGCAUAAUAAUUUGUUUUCUAAUUAAAAACUAGAAUAAAAGAUUUAAUGAAAUAUAUACUUUAUAAAUUAAAUAAAUUAAAUUUUUUAUUUAAGUAAAAAAACUUAAAUAAAAUUAAAAGACGAUAAGACCCUAUAAAAUUUUAUUAAUUUAAAUAUAAUUUUAAUUAAUUUUCUUAAUUUUUAAAUUUAAAUUAAUUUAAUUGGGGUAAUUUAAAAAUUAAAAAAAUUUUUUUAUUAAAAUACAUUUAUUAAUGAAAAAAUAAUCUUUUUUUUAAAAUAUUUUAAAAUUAAUUACUUUAGGGAUAACAGCAUAA
RNAcentral lists this ribosomal RNA (364 nucleotides) under Percnobracon sp. CNIN1081. RNAcentral describes it as "partial 16S ribosomal RNA". Lineage: Eukaryota; Metazoa; Arthropoda; Insecta; Hymenoptera; Braconidae. The record is from RNAcentral.